CCUACGGGACGCAGCAGUGAGGAAUAUUGGUCAAUGGCCGGGAGGCUGAACCAGCCAAGUCGCGUGAGGGAAGACGGCCCUACGGGUUGUAAACCUCUUUUGUCAGGGAGCAAGGUGCAGGUCGGGACCUGCUGUGAGAGUACCUGAAGAAAAAGCAUCGGCUAACUCCGUGCCAGCAGCCGCGGUAAUACGGAGGAUGCGAGCGUUAUCCGGAUUUAUUGGGUUUAAAGGGUGCGCAGGCGGAAUGUCAAGUCAGCGGUAAAAUUUCGGGGCUCAACCCCGUCGUGCCGUUGAAACUGGCGUUC
Molecule: ribosomal RNA, 305 nt
Filed under: uncultured bacterium
Lineage: Bacteria
Description: bacterial SSU rRNA
Rfam family: Bacterial small subunit ribosomal RNA
Source: RNAcentral